This 73-nucleotide transfer RNA is filed under the name Bos taurus (domestic cattle). It matches the Rfam family "tRNA". From Rfam's summary of the family: Transfer RNA (tRNA) molecules are approximately 80 nucleotides in length. RNAcentral also lists the same sequence under 4 other names. The record is from Rfam by way of RNAcentral. Lineage: Eukaryota; Metazoa; Chordata; Mammalia; Artiodactyla; Bovidae.
UCCCUGAUGGUCCAGUGGUCAGGGCUCUGAGCUUCUACUGCUGGGGACCCAGGUUUGAGUCCUGGUUGGGGAA